Molecule: non-coding RNA, 98 nt
Organism: Acanthosepion pharaonis
Lineage: Eukaryota; Metazoa; Mollusca; Cephalopoda; Sepiida; Sepiidae
Source: the annotation of a GenBank genome assembly
UUGAAACACCCGUUCCUAUACGAUCACAGAAUUUAAGCAACGUCGAACCUUGUCAGUACCUAGAUGGGUGACCUCUUGGGAAUAACAGGUGUUGUAAG